AUUGUAAUAGUCAGUGUAUAUGAAAAUUACUUUAAAUACAAGUACAGAGAUAGUGUAUGCCGGUUGUGAUCGUCGCUCGCUCAAUGCUACUGUUCAACUCUACGUUUGCUAUUCCACUGUAUGACUCGUUAUAAUGAUUUGCUAUAAUGAUCGUCCUAGAGAGGACGUUCGUCUAUUUGUAUCGACCGAUAGUAUAGACCUAGCAAAGCAAAACAACGUUGGCACUCCAAGGCACAACAAUACCAGUCCCUGCCGACCUUUCAAUGACUCAUGUGCCGCUACAGAGUUAAUAUCAAUAAGAUUCGCACCUAAUAUAUUGUUCGAAAUCCAAUGCUGAAAAUGAUGUAGCAGUAAAGAUCAUUUGCCACAAGCAAAGAUUGAUAAAGAUUAUACGCCAGUAAGAAAAAGUUAUUAGCACCUUCGUCAUUCGGAAGGAUAGCGGAAGCUCUCCGCGGUCCCUCCAAAAAAAAUCUG
RNAcentral lists this unclassified non-coding RNA (474 nucleotides) under Bombus terrestris (buff-tailed bumblebee). RNAcentral's name for it is "misc RNA ENSBTSG00005022212.1". The record is from RNAcentral. Lineage: Eukaryota; Metazoa; Arthropoda; Insecta; Hymenoptera; Apidae.